AGUUUGUUACUAAAAAAGACCAUGAACAUGAUUUUAAUCUCUUUAUAUAUUUAAACUAUUCAAUUAAGUAAGCUCUCUAGAUUAUUUAGUUUUGAUUUGCUAAAAAUUCAAGUACUUUACUUUCAGUUCAGUCUUUAAAGUUAGCUAUUUUUUAGAUCAAAGAUUAAAUUUAUUGGAUUUCU
RNAcentral lists this small RNA (182 nucleotides) under Mycoplasmoides pneumoniae M129. Its description in RNAcentral is "Mycoplasma pneumoniae M129 ncRNA". Lineage: Bacteria; Bacillati; Mycoplasmatota; Mycoplasmoidales; Mycoplasmoidaceae. The record is from RNAcentral.